Molecule: unclassified non-coding RNA, 311 nt
Filed under: uncultured Xylariaceae
Lineage: Eukaryota; Fungi; Ascomycota; Sordariomycetes; Xylariales; Xylariaceae
Description: sequence contains ITS1
Rfam family: 5.8S ribosomal RNA (bases 1-105)
Source: RNAcentral
GAAAUGCGAUAAGUAAUGUGAAUUGCAGAAUUCAGUGAAUCAUCGAAUCUUUGAACGCACAUUGCGCCCAUUAGUAUUCUAGUGGGCAUGCCUGUUCGAGCGUCAUUUCAACCCUUAAGCCCUCGUUGCUUAGCGUUGGGAGUCUGCCGUAAAACGCAGCUCCUCGAAGUUAGCUGGCAGAGUUAGGUCAUACUCUAGGCGUAGUAAAUUUUACAUCUCGCUUCUGGUAGUUGGCCUGGCUGUCGCCAUAAAACACCCCCCAUUUUUCUAUGGUUGACCUCGGAUCAGGUAGGAAUACCCGCUGAACUUAA